AACGAGGCCGACCUGCGGCUGAGUUACCUGCGGAGGGAUCAUUACUGAAUGGUCUCCAUGACCUUUGACCCAUAAAGCCUGUGGCAAAAUCAUGUGCUUUGGCGCCCCUGGGGCGCCAUGACCAUGCGUGUAUAUGUCUUUUGUCUGAAGUUAUAGUAACAAGCAAAACUUUUAACAAUGGAUCU
Molecule: unclassified non-coding RNA, 185 nt
Filed under: soil metagenome
Description: partial contains 5.8S ribosomal RNA, internal transcribed spacer 2, and large subunit ribosomal RNA
Source: RNAcentral